GAGGAGUGCUGGCUAUUUUGAGGAGAGGGCUUUCUUUUUCUUUUUUUUUAACUGGCACAAAAAUCACAUCCUCUUUCUUAUGCAAUGGGACAAAUAUGAGUAUGUCAAAGAUCACAUCUUCUCUGUGAUCUGAAGUUGUCCUCCUGAAAAUAAGGAAUAUGGUAGGGGAAAAAAGUCUAUGUAAGCCCCAGACCUCAGUUUCAUGACCUCGUCAUCCCUAAGUAUUGCUGGGACUCCACUUCAGUCCCUCACUCCCACGACCAGAUUCUGUCCUGGUGACCACGGAGGAAGGAUGCUCCAGGGACAGGAUCUAAGCACAGCCUCCUCUCCUGACAAGCCACCUGGUCCAUUACUGCCCACAGCCUCAAGCUUCUCCUUCAUCAGGAUCUCAGAUAAGACUUAAGUCCAAGAUCACACAGUCAAUAAGUGGUGGAGAUAAAACUUGAACCCCAUCAGUAACCAUUGACUCAGGGAAAUCUACAUAAUCUCACUGAUCCUCAGCGUCCUCUUUUGUAAAAUGGGAUUGGUAACGCCUGCCCUCUAAGGUGGUUGAGACUUGUUGCACAUGAAAUGCUUGGCACAGUGCCCUGCCUGCAACGAAUUGGAGGUGCCAUUCUCUGGACCAGUCAGAGUUUUCUGGAUGCAACGAUGUACUUCCACUCUGGUUACUUCAAGCGAAGGAGAAAUAAGUUGAACUGAAGCAGGUGACUGAGAGGACAAGAACCGGAGACCACAGGGGCCCUGGGAGGAUAUGUGAUGACACUUUGCAUAUGUAACUCCCGAGAAACCAAGGCAGGAGCUCCAGACUUCUCUCUAUCUGAAUGCACAAAUAGAAGGAGCAGGUUUGAUGAACAGCCGGAAUGCGCAUGACACAUGCUAUGUUUUUUCUGCACUUCAGUGAAGGAAAAUCAUAAUUUAAGAAGACGGUACAAAUCCAGCAAUUAGCCAGCACAUUUUUUGUGAGUCAUGUAAGUAUUCAGCAUAUUACUGGGUGCAAAGGAGACACAACCAAAGUAUGAAACACAAUGCUGUAUCUUCCAGGACCACCAUUAUCCAGAUUUGUGGAUCACCCACCCAGCUCUGUGUCAGGCACUGGGUUAUUUCUGGAGAUGCAAAGGCAAAUAAAAUGUGGCUUCUUUUUUUGGAGAAACAUGUAUGGGAUAUAAUAUUUGGAUGUUCUGGCAGAGCUAGAUUUGACAGUAGAGCUCCUAAAAGGUAUGAUCUUGCUUGCCUGUCAGAAUGGUAUGCUUCAAAAUAAUGUUUGAAUUGUAAACCUCUUCUGAGCACUAAAGAGUAUUUCA
RNAcentral lists this long non-coding RNA (1301 nucleotides) under Equus caballus (horse). RNAcentral describes it as "lncRNA (ENSECAG00000047743.1)". The record is from RNAcentral. Lineage: Eukaryota; Metazoa; Chordata; Mammalia; Perissodactyla; Equidae.